AUGUUAUCCUCCCUCUGCCUUUAUUCAUGCCUGCAUUUGGCUUUUAGGGAACAAACCACAGUGCCAUGAGAUGGGACCAACCCAAAUGAGUUCCAGCUGCAGGAACAGCCCAGCUGUGAGUGGUUAGAGCUGAUCACUGCCUGGCUGGGAUGGCUGCUCACAGAGCCCACACUAAACCUCUGCAGAUCACUGGCUGCGUGUAGCAGAGCCUGGAGACCCUGCAGCCCCUCACCGUGUGCUACUGAGUUGUGGGCUAAUUGAGACAUGACAGCAUGGAGCAGCAAAUGGUGCUUGCAGAACAGCUCCAGGACCGUGUCAGAGCCAGGUGGGGCUGUAAAGCUUCACCACACAACCGUGGCAAUGGCUGCUGCCCUCAUCCCUUCAGUGCAAUACUGCUUCACCAAAGCUGUGGCUUUCAGCAGCAAUGCGGGGCUCCUGGGAGGCAGAUUUCAUUAGAUGUGCACAGAAAAGCUCCUCAGAAGUGGAUCGGAGGUCUACGAGAUGGAAACAGCACUUUCCAUGGAGACUUUUCCAAGUCUGUGGCCCUUUCUGGUGGGAUUGUAGUGGGUCAGCUCUGUGUCACCCCCUGCAGAACACGCAGCGAUGGUGUCAGCGUUGGCUAAACGUGUAUCUGGGCAAUGUUGGCUGCAAAAAUGAAAGACACAAAUGAAGAAAGGUACAGCAAAGGCCAGCGCUCCUUGAGGCUGGUGCUCCCAUCUGUGCUUUGUAAUUCUGAGUUGGGAGAGGAGUGGUAAUCCAACUCUAUUGCUCAUAAACAAUAUCAUUGACUGUAGGGUCUGGAUUUACAAGGGUUUAUGAGACCUGAAAGCCAUAGAUAAGCAUUUAGUAGGAUUUACUGAAAAGCCUUAAAUGAGACUUCCAACAGGAGAUGGGUACCUUCUGCAAGUCUCACUAAAUUUAUACCUACACCUUUAGGGGUGUAAAUACCUUCUGACAGACCCUCCCCUCUUAUCAUAUAAAUCAAAGCAGGGCAGCCUGAAGGAUGGGAGAACCAUUUUCUAAGUGGGGAAUCUGGACCCUAUCAUUAAGGUCACCAUUCUGCAAAUACUUUUAGCAUAAGUGCAUAAGAAAAUUUGUUUUCCUUUACGUGGAGAGUAAACCAUAUGUUGUAAGCAGGUGAAGCUGCAGCAAGGCUACAGCUGGGCAGGAUUUUGAAGCUCCUAUGGCUUGUUGCUAAAGAGGAUACCCUCCUGCAGGUACCCAUGCAAGCAAUUUAUUCUGUCAUCCGAAUGGCAAAAUGUGCUCUGUGUUUUCUGGGGCCUCCACACAGCUGAGAUCCCAGAGCGGAGCACUGGGAGCCCUUGCUCUUCCUCAUCUGAAGAUGCCAAACAUCAGGAGCUGGAUGUGAGCGGGUUCCUGUGUGACCCUCCCCUCCUGAAGGGAAAGAACAACACCAGGCUGACUGUAGUUCUGCUUUUUAAAAAUCCUUCUGAUGUGAAGGGGGAAAAAUGAAAAGAGGGGAGGGUGUAAUCUAGUUGACAUCUAUUGUUCUUUGUGUAACAGCUCAUCUGUAUUCUAUCUGGUCCAGGGUAUUACAAUGAGAAUUCAAAGACGUGUGCACGUGCACACACAUCUCUCUGUGCACACAUAUAUGUGCUCGUAUAAACUGAAAUAUAACGAGGGAAAAAGCCCCUGUAAGUUCGAACCAACAACAGCAAUCCAUAUAUCUUUAUUUGCUGCCAACAUCCAAGCGCUGAACUCUCGAGGAGCCUGGAUCUCUGCCAUCAUCUGUCCGUGUCUGAUCUCUUUG
Molecule: long non-coding RNA, 1771 nt
Organism: Gallus gallus (chicken)
Lineage: Eukaryota; Metazoa; Chordata; Aves; Galliformes; Phasianidae
Source: Ensembl